Molecule: transfer RNA, 82 nt
Filed under: Planctomycetaceae bacterium
Lineage: Bacteria; Pseudomonadati; Planctomycetota; Planctomycetia; Planctomycetales; Planctomycetaceae
Also listed under: 1 other name
Description: tRNA-Leu
Rfam family: tRNA
About the family: Transfer RNA (tRNA) molecules are approximately 80 nucleotides in length.
Source: RNAcentral
GGCGGCGUGGCGGAAUGGCAGACGCGCUUGAUUCAAAAUCAAGUUCCCUCUGGGAGUGGAGGUUCGAGUCCUCUCGCCGCUA